This 253-nucleotide ribosomal RNA is filed under the name uncultured bacterium. RNAcentral describes it as "partial 16S ribosomal RNA". It matches the Rfam family "Bacterial small subunit ribosomal RNA", at positions 524 to 776 of the family's 1533-position model. The record is from RNAcentral. RNAcentral also lists the same sequence under 3 other names.
UACGAAGGGGGCUAGCGUUGUUCGGAAUUACUGGGCGUAAAGCGCGCGUAGGCGGUGAUCUUUGUCAGAGGUGAAAGCCCGGGGCUCAACUCCGGAAUUGCCUUUGAAACGGGAUCGCUAGAGUCCGAGAGAGGAUGGCGGAAUUCCUAGUGUAGAGGUGAAAUUCGUAGAUAUUAGGAAGAACACCGGUGGCGAAGGCGGCCAUCUGGCUCGGUACUGACGCUCAGGCGCGAAAGCGUGGGGAGCAAACAGG